UUGCAUCUUGACAAGCCUGAAGCUCUGACAUGGGCUACCUGGGUUUUUAACGAUGAUGCAACAUCAAUAUCUCCGCGCUUUCUGUGUGCUCUCUCCGUAGCAGCUCAGAUUGAAUAGGGGAUAACAUGG
Conger conger (European conger) is the source of this 129-nucleotide small nucleolar RNA. RefSeq annotates it as small nucleolar RNA SNORA31. The transcript has a single exon. The record is from RefSeq and is a predicted model, not a curated record. Lineage: Eukaryota; Metazoa; Chordata; Actinopteri; Anguilliformes; Congridae.